RNAcentral lists this ribosomal RNA (218 nucleotides) under Acinetobacter baumannii. RNAcentral describes it as "partial 16S ribosomal RNA". It matches the Rfam family "Bacterial small subunit ribosomal RNA", at positions 1 to 222 of the family's 1533-position model. Lineage: Bacteria; Pseudomonadati; Pseudomonadota; Gammaproteobacteria; Moraxellales; Moraxellaceae. The record is from RNAcentral.
AACUGAAGAGUUUGAUCAUGGCUCAGAUUGAACGCUGGCUGCAGGCUUAACACAUGCAAGUCGAGCGGGGGAAGGUAGCUUGCUACUGGACCUAGCGGCGGACGGGUGAGUAAUGCUUAGGAAUCUGCCUAUUAGUGGGGGACAACAUCUCGAAAGGGAUGCUAAUACCGCAUACGUCCUACGGGAGAAAGCAGGGGAUCUUCGGACCUUGCGCUAAU